This 164-nucleotide ribosomal RNA is filed under the name Bupleurum gracillimum. Its description in RNAcentral is "5.8S ribosomal RNA". It matches the Rfam family "5.8S ribosomal RNA". From Rfam's summary of the family: 5.8S ribosomal RNA (5.8S rRNA) is a component of the large subunit of the eukaryotic ribosome. It is transcribed by RNA polymerase I as part of the 45S precursor that also contains 18S and 28S rRNA. Functionally, it is thought that 5.8S rRNA may be involved in ribosome translocation. Lineage: Eukaryota; Viridiplantae; Streptophyta; Magnoliopsida; Apiales; Apiaceae. The record is from RNAcentral. RNAcentral also lists the same sequence under 1 other name.
CUCUCGGCAACGGAUAUCCCGGCUCUCGCAUCGAUGAAGAACGUAGCGAAAUGCGAUACUUGGUGUGAAUUGCAGAAUCCCGUGAACCAUCGAGUUUUUGAACGCAAGUUGCGCCCGAUGCCAUUAGGUUGAGGGCACGUCUGCCUGGGUGUCACGUAAAGCAU